Molecule: long non-coding RNA, 3939 nt
Filed under: Musa acuminata (dwarf banana)
Lineage: Eukaryota; Viridiplantae; Streptophyta; Magnoliopsida; Zingiberales; Musaceae
Description: long non-coding RNA (MACU_LNC007736)
Source: RNAcentral
AAGAAGUUGAUAAAAACAUAUAACACAAACAAAACAUAUAAAAUAUUUAAAAUAAUUAGGAAAAUAUGAUUUAAUUGAAAGCAGUCUGAAAAAUGUUUAAAUAAGAUUUAACACAAUAAAAACAUGAAAAAUUAAAAAUCUACGUAUGUUGAUAAAGAUGUCAGAAAAAUGUUUACAAAUUUCUGAAAAUUAAAAAUUUCACAAAAGUUGUCUUAGUCUAAGAAUAUAUUUUCCUCAAAUCUUGAAAGUCCAUAAUAAUUUAUCACACAAUCAAAAUCUUCAAGGGCAUUCCUAUAGACUACACCUAUUCGAUCCAAAACAUAGUUAUCUAAUAAGGGACAUGACGAGUGCCUACUGGGCCUCUACCUGAACUUCAUUAACUCAGACAAACAUAGUUCACUCGAUCAAGGAUCUCUGCUAAUUUCCUUGUCCUCAAACACCUAUUGCAUCAAUGAUAAUAUAUUUUAUAAUUUAAAAGAUACAGUCAACAAAGAAAAAAUACUCUUAACAUGUCUCCUUAGUUUUGAUGUAAUGCAUUACUUAGCUUUUAAGGAAUGAACAUUUUGAUUUUUUUAAAAAUAGAUGUAAUUGAAAUAAAGUUUACAAAAGGUAGAAUAUGAUGAUUAGGAAUACUUGUUAAUUGGCUAAAAUAUGUUAAUUGUUGCCAUUUAGUGUGUUUUCAUUAAGAAUUAAUUAUAAAAAAUAUAGUUAUCAUUUAAUAAAUAUAAGGCAUUGUUAGAGAUUACAUUUUAGAGGAAGGGAGAUGCAUAGUUGAAAAGGUCAUUUUAUAAAUAUAAAGCAGUAUUAGAGCUCAAAUUUUAGCGGAAGAGAAGCAUAGUUGAAAUUUGAAAAGAUCUACCAAGUUUUCUUUCUAGUCUAAAAUAUCACAUUCUAAAUAAAGACCUUAAUGAUGUUUGAUGAUGUCUAUAAUCUAUUGUUUGGACUCUGGAUUAUAGUAUCUCUUUCUCUUUCAUUCAAAUUUGUUAAUGAUAAAAAAUGACUAACAACUUGUUUGUAUACCAGGCGAAACAUGUUGGUAUACUAUCUUAUAUACCAGUACCAUACUAUGAUAUUUUAUUGAAACCGAUAUCGGACUGAGAUUGAAAAUAUUAUUUUUUGGUGUGUAUUUUGUUUAUUUCAAUUUGUUUACAAGAGUAGUUCUGAUUCAUUUUUAUGGGCAUUAACUUUAUUUCUGGUAACAUGUGGAAUUUUACUGCAAGACAACUACGUAGUUUGCCAACAUGGCAACCAAUUUUAGUUACUAAGAAUUUUAGUUAAAAGCAAGGGCUUUUCAAUUUUAGUUAUUUUGGGUUACAUGAAUGAACAAAUAGUGUACCUUUUUUUCCCAAAAGUAGACAAAUUUAAACAUGCAAGAUGAUAUGCUAUACAUUGUUUGUAAAAAAUGAACUAACAAAAUGAAAGAAUGCAGGAAGAACUCGCAAGACUCUGAACGUUUACAUCUUUGGGCAAUGUAUCAUUCGAACCAGAAGCUCAGCUUAAACACAUAUUUUACCUUCAUUUGAAUUAGUGAAUUGGUCCCCCCUCUCUCACUUUGUUAAGCCUUCUGAAUUUUUUUAAUGAAAUAUUGCAAACUUGUUUGAAGAGUUCAAUUAUUCUAAGAAUUACUUCAAUGCAUUUCUAAUUUUAGUAAGAUGUGUCAUAAUUUUAGAAAGCAGUUAUUCAACCUAAGAAGAACUGUAAACCAUAGUAUAUAUCAUAAUAGUAAAGAGAUACCAAACAAAUAAAUCUAUGAGCUUGAUAAAGGUGAGGCAUUGUAAUUCUGUUUAUUAUGUUUUUCCCUAUGAAAUGAAUAAAAAUAUCAAAUUUACAUGUCUUUCCAUGAAUAGACUAGGUCUUCUGCAACAUAGAUACACUUCUGAUCCUAAGAUAGGGCGAGAAAAAUGGUGCCAAAUGGGAUAUAAUGUAGGUUCUAAAUUUUGGAAGUUAACUUACUAGAUCAAUAGUUCACAAAUGCUUCAUUAUGGUGAUAGUGGAGUAGUUCGGGUCCUUCCGAUUAGCAGGAUCUUCAUUGAAUCUGAAGGUUCUGAUUUGUGAUUGUUUCAGUCUAUAGGAUUUAUCUUGUUGAAUCAGUUGUCGCUGUAGAAGAGUAGUAGCAAUGUUCAUGAGCUUGAUAGACAAGCUUGUUAUGUUUCAUAUAAAUGUUCACCAAUUAAUUACAUGGCUACUAUUUCAGUAUUUUUUCAAUUCUGCUAUUGUGGUCAUUUACCACAAGUUUCAGCAUCCAAGCACUAUAUCUGAAAUUUGCCUUUUGUAAGUAUAACACCGACCUUUGAGUUGGUAUUUCUUGUUUCCAACUUCCCUAUUUGUUUACUGAGAUUAAGGUAGCAGCAGCGGUUGUGAUUAUUUAUUGUAAUUCCAGUAAUAUCACAUGUGGUACCAAGUUUGAAUUUGACAUGAUAAUUCCGAUUGAAUUAUUUAAGUCAUCAUUUUUUUAAUAAUAUAUUGAUGAUUUUGUUGGAUGUAAUGGAGAAACAAAAUGAAUAUUGGGUAAGUAUUUGAAGUCUCCAUCACCAAAGUUACCAUCCCUUCCAACACCUCUACCUCUGUGCCUCUUGCCAUCGUCAUGUACAUCUUGUAAACUAUCAUUGGCCUUAUGGACAAGGCUAAUGCGGUGGAGAUUGAUGAUCCUCAGGAAACUCUAGAGCUUGAUCAAGACAAACAAGAAGCUCAUGGCCAAUGGUGCGUGCAUCCUUUGCAAGAAGGGGAUGGUGCAUAUACAACCUUCUUUUUCUCUUGAUUAGUGGUUAUUGGUGUUUGAAUUGUAAAACUAGAAAUCAGUUUUAUGUUGUGAAAUUAUGCAUCGAAGAACAAGAGAAUGAAUGUCUGACAAAUUACCAAUGAGAUCAUCUAGUAUUUUUUUUAUUAAUGCACAUAUGCUUAGCUCACCCUUGUUAUCCAGAAUAAUAGUUAUUCAUAUUGGUCAGAUUUUUUUUGUUUCCCUCGUGUUUCAAAUGGUUUGAAUAUUUCGUGCUUGACGUGGAGCCAUCCAGAAAAGAUCCAUCUACUAGGUGUUUGUUAGUAUUUGACUUGAAGCCUCCCACUUUGGAUAAAAAUUUGAGAGAAUUUGUACAUGAAUGAACAACCAGUGUACUUUUUUUUCCCAAAAGUGGACAAAUUUAUAUAUCCAAGCUGAUAUGCUAGAUAUUAUUUGUCAAAAAUGAACUAACAAAAUGAAAGAAUGUAGGAAGAACUCAUAAGAUUCUGAACGUUUACAUCUUGGGGCAAUGUAUCAUUCGAACCAUAAGCUCAGCUUAAACACACACUUUACCUUCAUUUGAAUUAGUGAAUUGGGGCAAUGAAAUAUUGUAAAUUGUUUUGAAGAGUUCAAUUAUUUCAAGAAUUACUUCAAUGCAUUUUAGUGGUAUACUAAGUGAACUGAUUUUGCAAAAAAUUUAGAAGUCAUAUGUUAUUUUUUUGUUGAGCCUGCAUAUGGAUUGUAAAAAGGAAUAUGGACACCAUUUUUAAAUUCCAGCAUAUUUUUUCCCUUUUUUUCCCCUUUCCCCUCACAAAUUUACAGCCUUAGCUUGUUAAGGGUCUCUCAUAACUCUCAAUUUUAUAGCAAAUAUCUACUAUUAGUCAUAGCAGACAUCUGUUAGCAAUAUUACAACAAAUGUCUACUAUUAUCAUAACUAUCAAUAUUUUCAGCUUCAUACAAUGAGAGUUUGCCUAACAUCACUAUGAUUAUAGAUUAAAUUGCCAGCAAAUUGCUUCAUGCUUAAAGAUAUUUCACCUGCAACAACUUUCUCAUAGACUGCCAUUUGUUAUGCUUCAGUCAUAUUGUGAGGCUUUCCUUUCAUUCAUGUUAUGAUCGAGGCACAUAUCUUGUUUUUUCAUUUAGGGACAAAGAGACUUAGAGCAUUGAUUCAUCACUUAUUGGAAUUUGAGAAUUAGGUUCAAGUAUUCUAUUUUUGGUUGAAU